GGGGCUGUUGCUCAGGGGCGGAGCAUCUGCUUGGGCUGCAGAAGGCCCCAGGUUCGAUCCCAGGAAUCUCCA
RNAcentral lists this transfer RNA (72 nucleotides) under Sphaerodactylus townsendi. Its description in RNAcentral is "tRNA-Pro". It matches the Rfam family "tRNA". From Rfam's summary of the family: Transfer RNA (tRNA) molecules are approximately 80 nucleotides in length. Lineage: Eukaryota; Metazoa; Chordata; Lepidosauria; Squamata; Sphaerodactylidae. The record is from RNAcentral.